GUGCUUGCUUUGUCAGCACAUAUACUAACAUUGGAAUGAUAUGGGAAAGAUUAGAAAGGCAUCUGUGCUGGAAUGACAUGCAAAUCCAUGAAGUAUUCCAUAUUUUA
Lepus europaeus (European hare) is the source of this 107-nucleotide small nuclear RNA. NCBI's taxonomy places the organism in Eukaryota, Metazoa, Chordata, Mammalia, Lagomorpha, Leporidae. The record is from RefSeq and is a predicted model, not a curated record.